CGAAAAUGGCAGCAAACAAGGGGGUUUUAAGAGCUUAAGCUUUAAGCCACUUAUUUCUCUUACAAAUCAAGGAAAUUGAGAUUUGGGCUUAAAUCGGAAAGUACGAAGUUAUGGACUAAAAUAGAGUAGUUGGCCGAAAUUUACAUUCGAGGUAAGUUCGUAUGAUAAUAAUAGUGCAAUGUUAUGUUUGAAUUAUAAUUCUUUACUAUUAUUGCAUAUAUUGUAUGAUUUAAUAUAUAUAUUGGAAAAGUUGAUGAAAUGGUGUAUAUGAUGUGGAAAUAUGACAUGGAAAAAUAUUACAUGAAAUGCAAGAAAAUGAUGAUCCAUGACAAGUGACAUAUGCAAUAUGUGAUAUAUGUUAUGUAAAUUCUUAAAAGCUUAUUUGCUAUUUGAGUUAUGCCUUAUUAUGCUAUGAAAGGGCAAUUGAUAAUAUGGAUAGUGAGAUCGACACUUCGAGUAAGUUCGACAGAGAUGGAGUAUCGAAAAAUCUCGUCUGAACCUUAGGAAUAGUCUAGGGUACAAGUGACAUGUCACUAAGUAUUAAGAAAUCCGAACUUGUUGAGUUAGUCCAAGUUCGUGAUAUAUAUGAGGCAACUGAACUCAUUGAAUUGUUUCGAGUUCAUUAUGGACGCGAGCAUCUGAACUCGUUGAAUUGGUCCGAGUUCAUAAUGGAUGCGAUAUAUGUAAUUGGGUUCCGGGCAAUGGUCUUAUGUGUCCUACCGGUGGCUAGGUAAUCCUUGAGUUGGUUGGAUACCUGAUGGCUUGUGUGAGCAGCCCGUUUAGCUACACCUUGACCGAUAGCUUUUAUGAGCAAACCCGUGAGUAGCUCCAUUGUGAGGGUUACAUGUUAUGAGGUAGUUUUGGCUAUGUAUGUAUAUGAGGCACUUAUGUGCAAGUUUUUCGCGUAUCCAAUAGUAUUUUGAGGGUUUAACGGGCAAUGCAAUAGAUGUGAUGGAAGUCCCAAGGAGGGCAUGUUAAAGAGGUAUAGUUAUAUGAUAUAUUACGAUGAGUACAAGUAUGUACACUGAUGCGAGCUGGCGAGCUCGCAUCAUACACUAAGCUUAUGGUUAUUGGGACUUUGAAAUGUUGAAACAUCGGUGAGCUAAGGUGUAUGAAUUAUGAUCAUAAAUUUUAUUACAAUAUCAUGUUAACUUAUAUUGUGAAUUUGAACAUGAAAUUCAUGAAAUGGUGAGUUCAUGGUUAGUCGAAAGUGAACUUAUGAUAGUUAUCAUUAUAUUGCACCAAAACAGUGUUGGACAGCAGCAGUUGUAUAACUUUGAAAAUUCACCAAAAUUUGUGAAAAUUGAGUUAGAGGCUGAAUAAAAUAUUAAAUUAAAGCUUAAUGAGUCUAGUCUCAAAUAGAAGAAACGAUGUAAGAAAAAGAGUUUCAUAUUAUGAAAUAUUUAAGUUGUUGUGAGAUAGAGUUAAAAUGAUUUCGAAAUCCCCUAUUCUGAUUUGAGAAAAUCAUUGGAAAUUUUACAAAAAUAUUUAUGGGUUAUAAUUUAUAUGAUUUGAAUCCUUAAUGAGUCUAUUUUCAAUAGAAAUAGACCAGAACAUCAUCCCAGUCCCGUAUUAUAAGAUAAUUAAUUUUUAGUGAAGAGGGACCGGAAAUGUCAGACCGCAAAAAAGGGGUAAAUUUAAAAAAUAAACUGUACUAAUUGGCUAAACCAAAAAUUCUGAAAAUUUUAUGGUAAAAAUAUAUAUGAGUCUAGUUUUUGAAAAAAUUAGCGGAUCUUAAUUUGGAGUUCCAUAACUCCAGAUAUAGAUAAUUUAGUGACUAUGAAUCGAGAAAAUAGCUUAACCUGAUCAUAGGUAAAAAGGCAAUUAUGGUAGUAUUACCUUGAGAUCAAGUUGUAACAAUUAGUGGAAGCAUAUUGAUAAAUUGCUUAUUAUUUUCAUAUGGACUUACUAAGCGUGAAGCUUACUCCCUCAUUUCCAUUUCUUUUAGCUUGAUAGGUUAGCUCGCUGUUGGAGAUCGUCAGAGGCAGCAUCACACUAUCAAGUCACCACCUUUGGAAUAAUGAAGCAUAUGUUAGAAACUUCCAAGUGAGUGGCAUGUAUAGCGAUCUAGUUUUAUGGCAUGUGUUAUUAUGCUUUGGCCAAAUGUAUUGGCUUAUAUUAACUUAUAUGCAUAUGGCCAUGAGAUGUGGCUCAUAUUGAUUACGGUUCGUAAAUCUAGCUAUCCAUGUUAUGUCUAGUGUUUAUGAUGUGAUUAUGUUUGUUUGUCAAGCUUGGUUGGUAAUAUGACAUGAGUGCUGGAUGGAUAAGUUGAUAACCAUAGUAUAAUGGUAAAAGUAAUCAUCAAAAUGACAAGUCUUAUGGAUGUGAAAUAAGGAAUCUAGACUUGGUAAUUCAUGAGUAGAUGCAUUGUUUGUAAGAAUACAUGCUAAUGUUAUGAAUAUAUCUUAAUAAGGAGUGUUUAAUCACUAAAAUGAUGCCAUGAUUUGUGGUUUUAAUAUGUAUAAGGUUUUAAGGGUUUAUGGGUAACAUGAAGGCUUGGAAAAUAGCCUAAGUGUUGACUACACGGGCCGAGAUACCGUCGUGUGUCUCAACCGUGCGAGGGAUACGAUCUGGAGACACGGGCGUGUGGCGUGUGGUUCGAUUUGCAUACUGACAUCAUAAAUAGAGAGUUACACGGCCUGAGGAUAUGGGCGUGUCCCUAUGUCCACACGAGCGUGUGACCCUGUUUCAUAGAAAGAAAUUUUCUAAGUUUUCCCAAAACUUUUUAAGGUUCUCGGUUUAGUCCCGAAUCAAUCCCGAUGUAUGUUUUAGGUUUCGUAGACCCAAAUAAGGGACGACAUGCAUGUGUUUGAAAAGUUUUGAAUCAAAAGAAAUUUUAUGGCCCGAUUUUUGCAUGUGUGUGUAUGAUUAAGUUCGGUAAUGCUUCGAACCCUGUCCCGGCAUCGGAUUCGGGUAAGGGGUGUUACAUAUCUAUUUUAUAUUUUUAUAUUUUAUAAUUAUUGUAAUAUAAUAAUUAAUUGUAUUGUAUUUAUGUUUUUUUUUAUAUUAUGCAGAUAUCAAAAUGUCUUCUGGAACAAAUACGGAUCACACUCUAUUGAGGAUUAAUGAAACAAUAAAAUUAAUUAUAAAUUAAAUAAAAAAAUCGUUUUAGUUUGUCUUUUUUUCUUGCCAAGGGCUACUUUGCUCA
RNAcentral lists this long non-coding RNA (3148 nucleotides) under Gossypium barbadense (sea-island cotton). Its description in RNAcentral is "long non-coding RNA (GBAR_LNC010622)". The record is from RNAcentral. Lineage: Eukaryota; Viridiplantae; Streptophyta; Magnoliopsida; Malvales; Malvaceae.